This 83-nucleotide transfer RNA is filed under the name Lasiosphaeris hirsuta. It matches the Rfam family "tRNA". Rfam says of the family: Transfer RNA (tRNA) molecules are approximately 80 nucleotides in length. Their secondary structure includes four short double-helical elements and three loops (D, anti-codon, and T loops). Lineage: Eukaryota; Fungi; Ascomycota; Sordariomycetes; Sordariales; Lasiosphaeriaceae. The record is from Rfam by way of RNAcentral. RNAcentral also lists the same sequence under 1 other name.
GGGGGUGUGGCUCAGUUGGUAGAGCGUUCGCUUAGCAGCUUCUCAACUGCGAAAGGUCCUGAGUUCGAUUCUUAGCUCCUCCA